GAUGAACGCUGGCGGCGUGCCUAAUACAUGCAAGUCGAACGAAGCUUCUUUAUCACCGAGUGCUUGCACUCACCGAUAAAGAGUUGAGUGGCGAACGGGUGAGUAACACGUGGGCAACCUGCCCAAAAGAGGGGGAUAACACUUGGAAACAGGUGCUAAUACCGCAUAACCAUAGUUACCGCAUGGUAACUAUGUAAAAGGUGGCUAUACUACCGCUUUUGGAUGGGCCCGCGGCGCAUUAGCUAGUUGGUAGGGUAAAGGCUUACCAAGGCAAUGAUGCGUAGCCGAAUUGAGAGGUUGAUCGGCCACAUUGGGACUGAGACACGGCCCAAACUCCUACGGGAGGCAGCAGUAGGGAAUCUUCCACAAUGGGCGAAAGCCUGAUGGAGCAACGCCGCGUGGGUGAAGAAGGUCUUCGGAUCGUAAAACCCUGUUGUUAGAGAAGAAAGUGCGUGAGAGUAACUGUUUACGUUUCGACGGUAUCUAACCAGAAAGCCACGGCUAACUACGUG
This 512-nucleotide ribosomal RNA is filed under the name uncultured bacterium. Its description in RNAcentral is "partial 16S ribosomal RNA". It matches the Rfam family "Bacterial small subunit ribosomal RNA", at positions 28 to 507 of the family's 1533-position model. The record is from RNAcentral.